UCCCCUAGUAACUGCGAGUGAAGAGGGAAGAGCUCAAAUUUAAAAUCUGGCAGCUUCGCUGUCCGAGUUGUAAUUUAGAGAAGUGAUGCCCGUGCUGGACCGUGUACAAGUCUCCUGGAAUGGAGCGUCAUAGAGGGUGAGAAUCCCGUCUUUGACACGGACUCCCAGUGCAUUGUGGUACGCUCUCAAAGAGUCGUGUUGUUUGGGAAUGCAGCACUAAAUGGGUGGUAAAUUCCAUCUAAAGCUAAAUAUUGGCGAGAGACCGAUAGCAAACAAGUACCGUGAGGGAAAGAUGAAAAGAACUUUGGAAAGAGAGUUAAACAGUACGUGAAAUUGUUGAAAGGGAAACGCUUAAAGUCCAGUCGCGUCUUCUGGGAAUCAGUCUUGCUUCUGCAUGAUGUACUUUCUAGUCGACGGGUCAGCAUCAGUUUUGACCGGUGGACAAGAGUUGGAGGAAUGUGGCACCCUCGGGUGUGUUAUAGCCUCUGAUUGUAUACGCCGGUUGGGACUGAGGAACUCAGCACGCCGCAAGGCCGGGUCUUUUGACCACGUUCGUGCUUAGGAUGCUGGCAUAAUGGCUUUAAUCGACCCGUCUUGAAACACGGACCAAGGAGUCUAACAUGCCUGCGAGUAUUUGGGUGGAAAACCCGAGUGCGYAAUGAAAGUGAAAGUUGAGAACUCUCUAGAGUGCAUCGACGCCCGGACCAGAYGUUUUCUGACGGAUCCGCGGUAGAGCAUGUAUGUUGGGACCCGAAAGAUGGUGAACUAUGCCUGAAUAGGGUGAAGCCAGAGGAAACUCUGGUGGAGGCUCGUAGCGAUNCUGACGUGCAAAUCGAUCGUCGAAUUUGGGUAUAGGGGCGAAAGA
RNAcentral lists this ribosomal RNA (865 nucleotides) under Rhodotus palmatus. RNAcentral describes it as "LSU rRNA". It matches the Rfam family "Eukaryotic large subunit ribosomal RNA", at positions 76 to 930 of the family's 3401-position model. The record is from RNAcentral. Lineage: Eukaryota; Fungi; Basidiomycota; Agaricomycetes; Agaricales; Physalacriaceae.